RNAcentral lists this ribosomal RNA (224 nucleotides) under uncultured bacterium. RNAcentral describes it as "partial 16S ribosomal RNA". It matches the Rfam family "Bacterial small subunit ribosomal RNA", at positions 1279 to 1500 of the family's 1533-position model. The record is from RNAcentral.
AACCGGUACUCAGUUCGGAUCGCAGUCUGCAACUCGACUGCGUGAAGGUGGAGUCGCUAGUAAUCGCGGAUCAGCAACGCCGCGGUGAAUGCGUUCCCGGGCCUUGUACACACCGCCCGUCAAGUCAUGAAAGUGGGCAGCACCCGAAGACGGUGGCCUAACCCUUGUGGGGGGAGCCGUCUAAGGUGAGGCUCGUGAUUGGGACUAAGUCGUAACAAGGUAUC